This 393-nucleotide ribosomal RNA is filed under the name uncultured bacterium. RNAcentral describes it as "partial 16S ribosomal RNA". It matches the Rfam family "Bacterial small subunit ribosomal RNA", at positions 523 to 918 of the family's 1533-position model. The record is from RNAcentral.
AUACGGAGGAUCCGAGCGUUAUCCGGAUUUAUUGGGUUUAAAGGGUGCGCAGGCGGGAGAUUAAGUCGGCGGUGAAAUUUUGCAGCUCAACUGUAAAAGUGCCUUCGAAACUGGUUUCCUUGAGUGUAGAUGAAGUAGGCGGAAUUUGUGGUGGAGCGGUGAAAUGCAUAGAUAUCACGAGGAAAUCCGAUUGCGCAGGCAGCUUACUAAACUACUACUGACGCUCAGGCACGAAGGCGUGGGGAUCAAACAGGAUUAGAUACCCUGGUAGUCCACGCAGUAAACGAUGAUUACUAGCUGUUUGCGAUACAAUGUAAGCGGCUGAGCGAAAGCGUUAAGUAAUCCACCUGGGGAGUACGUUCGCAAGAAUGAAACUCAAAUGAAUUGACGGGG